This 209-nucleotide long non-coding RNA is filed under the name Carica papaya (papaya). RNAcentral's name for it is "long non-coding RNA (CPAP_LNC005269)". The record is from RNAcentral. Lineage: Eukaryota; Viridiplantae; Streptophyta; Magnoliopsida; Brassicales; Caricaceae.
UUAGGGCCUGCGCGCGGCACCCGGUCUGCCUAGGUCCUAUGCUAUAAGCCCUGUGUGCUUAGGGCCUGGGCGUGGCACCUAGCGCGCCAAGGCCCUUUCGCACAUGACAAGAGGGCUGUGCACCUGCAUGAUAGCCUGCAGCGUGCCGUCACUGCCAAUGGAGGAGGCCUUCCUCCCUUGUUUUUUGUGUUGAAUAUCUUUUUCUCCUA